RNAcentral lists this long non-coding RNA (243 nucleotides) under Ananas comosus (pineapple). Its description in RNAcentral is "long non-coding RNA (ACOM_LNC003191)". Lineage: Eukaryota; Viridiplantae; Streptophyta; Magnoliopsida; Poales; Bromeliaceae. The record is from RNAcentral.
UGGUGCAUUAGUGGAGUGUUAACCGAAAUUAUUUUUGGUGGUGUGUAGGCAAGUUUCGGGGACGAAACUUUCUUUAAGAGGGGGAUGAUGUAAGGACUGAGAUUUUGGCAGUGUAGCUAAACUCUCUGUUGACGAUGUUUUUGUGUGUAAUUCAAUUACAAAAGCAGUCGUCAAGUUUCGAGAGAAAACGAGUUAGAACGUAGAUUUUACGAGAUCUCCAAGUUUCACUUAAAGUGAAUAGUA